GCCUUAAUGGUUGCAGCCUGAUCCGUCAGGCUGAUGGCUGGUGACUUUUUGGUCACCAGCCU
This 62-nucleotide small RNA is filed under the name Winslowiella iniecta. Its description in RNAcentral is "Erwinia iniecta Pseudomonas sRNA P26". It matches the Rfam family "Pseudomonas sRNA P26". Rfam says of the family: P26 is conserved across many Gammaproteobacteria species and appears to be consistently located between the DNA directed RNA polymerase (beta subunit) and 50S ribosomal protein L7/L12 genes. Lineage: Bacteria; Pseudomonadati; Pseudomonadota; Gammaproteobacteria; Enterobacterales; Erwiniaceae. The record is from Rfam by way of RNAcentral.